UGCGUAGGCGGCGGCAUAAGUCAGAAGUGAAAGUUGGCAGCUUAACUACAAAAUUGCUUUUGAUACUGUGCUGCUUGAAUCACGUUGAGGCUGGCGGAAUGUGGCAUGUAGCGGUGAAAUGCUUAGAUAUGCCAUAGAACACCAAUUGCGAAGGCAGCUGGCUAGACGUGUAUUGACGCUGAGGCACGAAAGCGUGGGGAGCGAACAGGAUUAGAUACCCUGGUAGUCC
Molecule: ribosomal RNA, 229 nt
Filed under: uncultured bacterium
Lineage: Bacteria
Description: partial 16S ribosomal RNA
Rfam family: Bacterial small subunit ribosomal RNA
Source: RNAcentral